CAAUUCGGCAGCAGACACCAGCUGGGUAUCCUCCAAUUUAAUUCUGACACUAUUUGGAGAUAGCAUCAGAUCCCACAGGUUGAGUGCUCAGUCCCCAAGACCGCCCACCCCCUAGACACCAGUCAGCACUGAGCUAGGAACAGGCCAGGUGUGCAGAAGCCUCCUCCCUGUCUGAGGAUAGUUAUGGAAGGCUAAAUCGAACUGGGCUUUGGACAGACACUUACAUUCUGGAAGGUGGCAUGGACUUACUUUGAGAAGGCUCACCCAGUCCUGCCUUUGUGGAAAUGAGGGAACCCAGGCCCAGGCAGCCUCAAAGCCCGACUGCAGAGACGAACUAGUCAAUGGAGCCCAGAGCUGUCUAUCUCUGGAGAAGAGCUGUCUGUGAGGCAGGUGUAUACAGAAGAGAGAGAGAGGAAGGAAGAGAACGAGAGACUGCAGACAAAUAUGAACAGCAAGUGUCUCUCUUCAGCCCUCCCUGGAGCCAGGCCGUGCUUCUGCUCCUGACUUACAGUUGCUU
RNAcentral lists this long non-coding RNA (517 nucleotides) under Homo sapiens (human). RNAcentral's name for it is "HSALNT0275012". The record is from RNAcentral. Lineage: Eukaryota; Metazoa; Chordata; Mammalia; Primates; Hominidae.